UAAAGAGUUCUAUAACUCCCAAACCCAUGUGAACAUACCUAACGUUGCCUCGGCAGGUCGCACCUACCUUGUAGCACCCUACCCUGUAGGGCCUACCCGGGAGGUGCGGGUAAGCCUGCCGGCGGCCCACCAAACUCUGUUUGAUAUUGAAUUCUGAACCUAUAACUAAAUAAGUUAAAACUUUCAACAACGGAUCUCUUGGUUCUGGCAUCGAUGAAGAACGCAGCGAAAUGCGAUAAGUAAUGUGAAUUGCAGAAUUCAGUGAAUCAUCGAAUCUUUGAACGCAUAUUGCGCCCAUUAGUAUUCUAGUGGGCAGGACCGUUCGAGCGUCAUUUCAACCCUUAAGCCUUCGUUGCUUAGUGUUGGGAGCCUACGGCAACGUAGCUCCUCAAAGUUAGUGGCGGAGUUGGUUCACACUCUAGACGUAGUAAUUUUUUAUCUCGCCUAUUAGUUGGACUAAUCCCCUGCCGUAAAACCCCCAAUUUAUCAAGGUUGACCUCGAAUCGGUUCAGACAAACUCGCUAAAUUGAAGCAUCUUAGUCAGCGAAGGAAAAGAAACCAACAGGGAUUGCCCUAGUAACGGCGAGUGAAGCGGCAACAGCUCAAAUUUGAAAUCUGGCCCUCGGGUCCGAGUUGUAAUUUGUAGAGGAUGCUUUUGGCGCGGU
RNAcentral lists this ribosomal RNA (665 nucleotides) under fungal endophyte. RNAcentral's name for it is "eukaryotic LSU rRNA". The stretch from base 179 to 332 matches the Rfam family "5.8S ribosomal RNA". Lineage: Eukaryota; Fungi. The record is from RNAcentral.